Molecule: transfer RNA, 77 nt
Filed under: Candidatus Aerophobota bacterium
Lineage: Bacteria; Candidatus Aerophobota
Description: Candidatus Aerophobetes bacterium tRNA-Ile
Rfam family: tRNA
About the family: Transfer RNA (tRNA) molecules are approximately 80 nucleotides in length. Their secondary structure includes four short double-helical elements and three loops (D, anti-codon, and T loops).
Source: RNAcentral
GCGGUUAUAGCUCAGCUGGUUAGAGCGCAACACUGAUAAUGUUGAGGUCCCAAGUUCAAAUCUUGGUAACCGCACCA